GAUGAACGCUAGCGGCAGGCCUAAUACAUGCAAGUCGAACGGUUGUAGUGAUACAAUAGUGGCGCACGGGUGCGUAACACGUAUGCAACCUACCUUAUAGACGGGGAUAGCCUUUGGAAACGGAGAUUAAUACCCGAUAGCAAUAUUGACUGGCAUCAGUUUAUAUUUAAAGAUUUAUCGCUAUAAGCUGGGCAUGCGUCCAAUUAGUUAGUUGGUUAGGUAAUGGCUGACCAAGACGAUGAUUGGUAGGGGAACUGAGAGGUUAAUCCCCCACACUGGCACUGAGAUACGGGCCAGACUCCUACGGGAGGCAGCAGUAGGGAAUAUUGGGCAAUGGAGGCAACUCUGACCCAGCCAUGCCGCGUGCAGGAUGAAGGCGUUAUGCGUUGUAAACUGCUUUUAUAUAGGAAGAAAUAGACCUUGCGAGGUAAGUUGACGGUACUAUAUGAAUAAGCACCGGCUAACUCCGUGCCAGCAGCCGCGGUAAUACGGAGGGUGCAAGCGUUGUCCGGAUUUAUUGGGUUUAAAGGGUGCGUAGGCGGUUUAUUAAGUCAGUGGUGAAAGACGGUCGCUCAACGAUUGCAGUGCCAUUGAUACUGGUAGACUUGAGUGAGAUUGAGGUAGCUGGAAUGGAUAGUGUAGCGGUGAAAUGCAUAGAUAUUAUCCAGAACACCAAUUGCGUAGGCAAGUUACUAAGUCUCAACUGACGCUGAGGCACGAAAGUGUGGGUAUCAAACAGGAUUAGAUACCCUGGUAGUCCACACUGUAAACGAUGAUAACUAACUGUUGGCUUUCGGGUCAGUGGUACAGAGAAAUCGUUAAGUUAUCCACCUGGGGAGUACGCCGGCAACGGUG
This 855-nucleotide ribosomal RNA is filed under the name uncultured bacterium. RNAcentral describes it as "bacterial SSU rRNA". It matches the Rfam family "Bacterial small subunit ribosomal RNA", at positions 28 to 896 of the family's 1533-position model. The record is from RNAcentral.